This 840-nucleotide ribosomal RNA is filed under the name Rhodococcus coprophilus. RNAcentral describes it as "bacterial SSU rRNA". It matches the Rfam family "Bacterial small subunit ribosomal RNA", at positions 17 to 869 of the family's 1533-position model. Lineage: Bacteria; Bacillati; Actinomycetota; Actinomycetes; Mycobacteriales; Nocardiaceae. The record is from RNAcentral.
UCAUGGCUCAGGACGAACGCUGGCGGCGUGCUUAACACAUGCAAGUCGAACGAUGAUGCCCAGCUUGCUGGGCGGAUUAGUGGCGAACGGGUGAGUAACACGUGGGUGAUCUGCCCUGCACUUCGGGAUAAGCCUGGGAAACUGGGUCUAAUACCGGAUAUGACCAUGGGAUGCAUGUCCUGUGGUGGAAAGGUUUACUGGUGCAGGAUGAGCCCGCGGCCUAUCAGCUUGUUGGUGGGGUAAUGGCCUACCAAGGCGACGACGGGUAGCCGGCCUGAGAGGGCGACCGGCCACACUGGGACUGAGACACGGCCCAGACUCCUACGGGAGGCAGCAGUGGGGAAUAUUGCACAAUGGGCGAAAGCCUGAUGCAGCGACGCCGCGUGAGGGAUGACGGCCUUCGGGUUGUAAACCUCUUUCAGCAGGGACGAAGCGCAAGUGACUGUACCUGCAGAAGAAGCACCGGCUAACUACGUGCCAGCAGCCGCGGUAAUACGUAGGGUGCGAGCGUUGUCCGGAAUUACUGGGCGUAAAGAGUUCGUAGGCGGUUUGUCGCGUCGUGUGUGAAAUCCCGCAGCUCAACUGCGGGCUUGCAGGCGAUACGGGCAGACUUGAGUACUGCAGGGGAGACUGGAAUUCCUGGUGUAGCGGUGAAAUGCGCAGAUAUCAGGAGGAACACCGGUGGCGAAGGCGGGUCUCUGGGCAGUAACUGACGCUGAGGAACGAAAGCGUGGGUAGCGAACAGGAUUAGAUACCCUGGUAGUCCACGCCGUAAACGGUGGGCGCUAGGUGUGGGUUUCCUUCCACGGGAUCCGUGCCGUAGCUAACGCAUAAGCGCCC